GGGAAGACAGGGACUAUGUACACACUGGGAAACGAGCAACAGGUGAGGCAAACGAGCAACAGGUGAAACUCAUGGGUGAUUAACGAAGGAGGGAAGACUAGGGAAGUAAAACCAGACUAGAAACACAAAGAUUAACGACUACAAAAUGAGAUGGGAAACACUGAAAACGAAUCUACAGAAUAAAACACUAAGAACGGGAGAGAAACAGGGUCAAACACAAACUGAAAACUUAGGAGAUUGGACUUUAAGGGAACAGGAACAAUGGAGGCCAGAAACACGAGGGUUAAUACACCAAGAAGAUACACUUAAAUGACAAAACCAGGGAAAGACUAAAUCAUAAGAACAUAUCACAACAAUGGACAGAACGAUAGAACAAACGAUAGAAUGAUAAAACGAUAGAUAGAUAGAUCUUAGUGAUUAAUUACAGGGUGUCCAUCAGAUAUCAAGUGCUUAUACCCAUCUUGGACACACUCCUGUCCCUCCUCUCCCACUGAGUCCCAGCUUUUCCAAACAAAAGAAAACACUAACUCCCACACUUUCCAACCCCUCACAUCCUGACCACCUUAACCAGGAAGACCAGUGUCUACCAUUAAAAUGCUCGUCCUUUAAUUAUCCAUCUGCUCCAUCCACCUCCUCCCCCCUGCCUCUUAAAGUGUAAAUACCUUUUGUGUAAUUUACCCUGAAGUUCUCUCUCACUGAUUAGCCCCCUCUGAUUCCUCCCCCCGUCUUGCCGAAACAAACUCCUGCUCCAGGUCUCCCCCUGUUACACUAUAGAUUCCCUGUCGACUCACUAUGGAAAAGAUCGAACUCUAAUUAAGAUUGUUAAUGAAGAUUUAAUUUUCCACUUCAAAUGAGCCGCUGAACUCUUGGAGCGUCCCGAGCAAAAUGCAGGAGUGAGGAGAAAGAAGGGAAGAAGAAAAGAAGAAAAAGAAGAGGUCUGGACUAGAAAAUUAGCACAAAGGGAGUUAAAAGUUUCUUGUACAAGGUUGUUAGACAUUUAACUACCCAGCAGGAUGCUGUCACAUCUGUAGGCUAAAGUUACACCAGCCAUUAGCAAUACUUUCCUCCUGCCAUGUCAGCAUAUAAAACAGCUCAGAUCCAAAAUAUGAUGGUUCGGGUAAUAUUGAGGGUCAGUUUAGUCUGUUCAGGACUCUGUGGACUUUAGAUAAGACUUAUGGAAUAAAGUGUGCCACAGACAGAGCAUAAACAAGCAGCAUAUGGUUAGUAUGUUACGACCCUGACCUUUAUUUCAGUUAUUUCCUCUUGUUUCCCGGUGUUUUCCCCUUCCCCCAGUGUCUGUGUGAUAGCAGGUGUGGCCCAUCUUCUCCUGUACCGCCCACCUCUUCCUGGUCCACCUCCACCUCCACAUGGUUCCACAGCUGCCUCUCAUCUACAAUUAAGCACAGUCUAAAAGAACCCCUGGCUUUUCCUCCACCAGCUGCCAGAUUAUCUGCUAACCAAUGUGGUAUUUUGCUGGCUACAAAUCUUUUAGGUGUUUCUGUCAAUUUGGAAAGAUUUUUUGAGUGCUUUUUCUUUUCAGACAUUUGUAUAAUCAGUUUUGUUCUCCUUUGUUCCAGUUUUCUGCCUGCCCGCCUGCGCUCACACUUGGACCAUCCCCUUCAUCUGUC
This 1628-nucleotide long non-coding RNA is filed under the name Xyrichtys novacula (pearly razorfish). Lineage: Eukaryota; Metazoa; Chordata; Actinopteri; Labriformes; Labridae. The record is from RNAcentral.